GACGAACGCUGGCGGCGUGCUUAACACAUGCAAGUCGAACGGAAGGGCCCUGCUUUUGUGGGGUGCUCGAGUGGCGAACGGGUGAGUAACACGUGAGUAACCUGCCCUUGACUUUGGGAUAACUUCAGGAAACUGGGGCUAAUACCGGAUAGGAGCUCCUGCUGCAUGGUGGGGGUUGGAAAGUUUCGGCGGUUGGGGAUGGACUCGCGGCUUAUCAGCUUGUUGGUGGGGUAGUGGCUUACCAAGGCUUUGACGGGUAGCCGGCCUGAGAGGGUGACCGGCCACAUGGGGACUGAGAUACGGCCCAGACUCCUACGGGAGGCAGCAGUGGGGAAUAUUGCACAAUGGGCGGAAGCCUGAUGCAGCAACGCCGCGUGCGGGAUGACGGCCUUCGGGUUGUAAACCGCUUUCGCCUGUGACGAAGCGUGAGUGACGGUAAUGGGUAAAGAAGUACCGGCUAACUACGUG
This 468-nucleotide ribosomal RNA is filed under the name uncultured bacterium. Its description in RNAcentral is "partial 16S ribosomal RNA". It matches the Rfam family "Bacterial small subunit ribosomal RNA", at positions 28 to 507 of the family's 1533-position model. The record is from RNAcentral.